UGAUCCUAGGGCCACUUAACUACUGAGCCACAUCCUUAGCCCUUUCCAUUUUUUAAGUUUAGAGACAGGGUCUCUCUGAGUUGCUGUGGUUGGCUUUGAACUUGGUAUCCUCUGCUUCAGCCUCCCAAGCUGCUGGAAUUACAGAUGUAGCCACCUUACCUGGCUCCUUACCUUGUUCUAAUCCUACAUUCCUGACUAUUUCUUUUGUCUCCAUUUUCUCUUUUAUAUAUAACUGAGAAAGACUGAGUAAAGAAGAAAAGGAGCUGCCUCAGGGCAGAAGAUCAACCUCCAAACCUUGGCUCAAGCACUGAGUGGGCAUUAGCACAGUGACACUCACUUUACUUCCUCCCAGGGUUACUGGUGGACUCAAGGGGGGGAAAGAAUGUGAACUAUUUUGCACACUGUGCUGGAAGGAAAGACCUCCCCCUCUAUAUUCUGCUCUUUUCUUUCUAUAGAGACUCUUCCUCCUUUGGUAAUGUCACCUAUUUUCAUGGCCUUAAUUAUCAUCUCUUCGAUAAAAUUAUUUGAGGAGAUAAAAAGAUUAAAGCAGAGGCAACAUAGAAAUAUAGAGUACGGUUAUACCUGGUUUCAGUGUCAGUCUUCUUAGACUUUGGGAACAAGAUUGGUAGCUUUUUCCACAUGGAAAAAACUACCUUUCAUUGUUUGCUAUUUAUGUUCUCCUGGUCUCAUUUGUUUUCUCUCAUCAUCUGGGCAUUUUUCUUUAUACCCUUGACUUUUCACACUCUUUCUGACUUUGUCUUUUCCAUUUCUACCCUAAAGCAGCAGUUUUCAGACAUCAGCAUAUCAGAAUCCACGGAGGAACACAUGGUGCUUAGUGAGGGAAGCCGGUCCUAAAGGACUGCAUACUGUGUGCUUCCAUUUCUAGGAACCGUCAGGAAGAGCAAAUCCAUGGAGGGGAAAGCAGAUGAGUUGUUGCCUGGGGCUGGGAUGACAGCAUGGGGAACGAGGAGUGACUGAGAAUGGGAACAGAUUUCUUUUCGUUGUGAUGAAAAUAGAAUGUGGUGGUAUUUGCAUAACUCUGUGGGCACACUAAAACCACUAAACGGUGCACUUUGAAUAAGAGACAUAUCCAAUAAAGCAGUUAGGAAACAAAGAAGACUCCCAUGGAGGGCUUGUAAAAUACAGACUUCUGGGCCUUAUCCCCAGAGUUUCUGAUUCAGUAGUUCUGAUUCAAUAGGUAUCUGACUUGGAAUUUCUGAUUUAUUAGAAACUUGCAUUUCUAACAAAUUCCUAAGUGCUGCUGCUGCUAAUGGUCCAGGACACUGUGACAACCACUGCACCAGAGUAGUGCUGUCCAACAGAAAUAGAAUAUAAGCCACAUGUGUAAUUAAACAUUUUUAUUUUUUAAAUAUUUUUUAGUUGUAGUUGGACACAAUACCUUUAUUUUACUUAUUUAUUUUUAUGUGGUACUGAGGAUCGAACCCAGGGCCUUGCACAUGUUAGGCGAGCGCUCUACAGCUGAGCCACAACCCCAGCCCUAAUUAAACAUCUUUAGAAGCCACAUAAAUGAGUUAAUUUUCAUCACAUGCCUUAAUACCAUAUAUGCAAAAUAUUCUCAAUAGACAAUCAAUAUAGUAUACUCAUCAAUGAGGCGUUCUAUAUUCCUUUAUUUGUAUAAAGCCUUUGGCACCUGGCGUGCCCAACACUACAUGCACACCACAUCUCAAGUGUUUGAUGGCCCUAGGUGCCUACUGUAAUGGACAGCACAGCCCUGGAAUAUUCUCUUGUCUUCUUUUUGAAAUGGCCUAGGGUUAAGCCUCAUCUGUAUAAGGAUGACAACAGCAUUCCAUACCUCAUGGGAUCUUUGUAAAAAUGCUUAGAACACUUUCAUCCAGGUAAUAAGCAGUCAGUGUUAACUAUUAUUAUUUCUCUAAUAAUAAUCAUCAAGUGAAAGAAAAGAAUGUCAGGCUCAGUCAAUUUUGAACUUUUGAAAUGCUAGCCAUUUCAAGUUCUAACCUAAAUCAUUGAAAUGAAACAGUGGUAGAUUUUAACCUGUUUGUAUCAGAUAGAAUUCUUCUGGUGGGAAGAAAAGAAAAUUCAAUUUAAGCAGAUUUAAAUAAUGAGGAAAUUAAAGUCUCAUCUACCUGGGGUACAGAAGCAAAUACAGUUCAGUUUCAGUUAAUAUAAUCCAAACAACAUCAUCAAAGGGUCUCAGCCUCUUUCUGUCUCUUCACUCUGAACUCCAAUAUUGUUUUUAUCCUACAACUGGUAUCCCUCUUAGUUUGGGGAUGGCUGCUAGUAACAAUUUAGGGUUAAAUGCUUUUUGAUUUAUCUCUGGCAGAGAGUGCAACUCCUUCCUAACCACUGAAUAAAAGUCUCUUCCCUCCAGUAUAAUCGUGGGGUGGUGGUGUCUGGUGUGCUAGUGACAUUCUAUUUCUUGACCUGGGUUUGCUUUGUGAAAAUCCAAAAUGCUGCAUAAUAGUUAUUUGUACAUUUUAGGGCUGGGGCUGUAGCUCAGUUGGCAGAGUACUUGCCUAGCCUGUGUGAGGCAUGAGGUUUCAUCCUUAGCACCGCAAAAAAUAAACAAAUAAAAUAAAGGCAUUCUGUCCACCUACAACUACUAAAAAUUUUAAAAAAGCCAAACCUCUUGCAACAUUGAUGGGAAAAUAAAGGAAAUACUUCAUAUGUGUUAGACCUCAAACAAAAACAAAAGGCUUUUUUUUUUUUAUACCAAGGAGAUGAUCUUAAGGUGGAAAAAAUAAGUAAGAAAACGCUUUAGGUUCAUGUCAAAAUGAAAUAUAUUCUCUUAGCAAUAUAUAGUAUUGUUUGGAUUUAAAAUUCAUAAUAUAAGAAUCAUAUAUAGCUUGCUUUUUAAUUCAACAUUAUAUUGUAAGGUUAAUCCAUGUUGAUACAUAUUCCAUCUUGUGCAGUGUUUAUUCAUUUUUCUGUUACUAGAUGUUGAAGAGUUUUCCUAUCUUUCUUAUUAGAGGUUACACUACUAUGAAUGUUUUGUACACAUGUUCAUGGGACAGACUUUUCUAGGGUUAUAUCUAGGUAUUACACCUACAAGUAAAAUUUCUGGAUCUUGGCAUAUGCCAUAUUCAGCUCAUUAUGUAAUGCUAAAUUAUUUCCCAAAGUGAUUUUAUCUUUUAGAACUGGAUUUAGUUGCAAGUGAUACUAAGUUCAAAAUAACAGUGGCUUAAAAAAUAGCAACACAGUUGGGCAUGGGGCUACAUGCCUCUUAUCCCAGCUGAAGAGAAGCUGAGGCAGGAGGAUUGCAAGUUUGAGGUCAGCCUGGGCAACAUAGUGAGAUCCUGUCUCAAAAUAAAAUUUAAAAACAUGGCCCUAUGGGCAUAUAUGAUUACAUGACCUGUGAAACUCUAUAUCAUAUACCACCCAGAAGAAUGAGAAGUUACACUCCACUUGUGUAUGAUGUGUCAAAAUGCAUUCUACUGUCAUGUAUAACUAAUUAGAACAAAUAAAAAAAUUAAAAAUAAAACAUGGGCUGCAGCCGUAACUCAGAGGUGGAGUGCGUGCCUAACAUGUGCGAGGCUCUAGGUACAAUCCCCAGUACCAUGAAAGGGGGAGAAAAAAGAAUGAAAAAAAGAAUAAAGCAGCACACUUCUUUCUCAUAUCAUUCUGGAGGAAGCAGGCAGGGGCAGGGUAGCUUUGCAAACUCCUCAGGGACCCGGAAGACUUCACCCUUGCUGUGCCACCAUUCUCAGCAAGGCAUCUUUCAUCUCCCAUUGCAGUAUGGCUUCACCAUCAUGGACACAUUCUGGCCAGCAAGAAGGAAGAAGAAGAAAAGAAAGAUUUCCAAGUAUAUACCAUUGGCCCGAAUGGUAUUACAUUUAGCUGCAGGAGAAUCUUUAUUCUGGGUGACAACACAAAUCAUACCUAGUGAAUCCUAUUGGGAAGAAAGGGAGAACAGUUCUUGGAAAUAAUAAGCAGCCUCUGCAAGCGGUUACACUAUGCAGUGUACAUGUCUACCAACUGUGUUUAAAAGUUCAAGUUCCACAAACGUAUCAACAACAGAAAAGAUCAAGCUUUACAUCUUUGCCAUCAGAUUGGUAUGAACUGGUUUCUUUUUUUAUCACAUCUUUUUAGUUAUGUAUAACAGAAU
Molecule: long non-coding RNA, 4084 nt
Filed under: Marmota monax (woodchuck)
Lineage: Eukaryota; Metazoa; Chordata; Mammalia; Rodentia; Sciuridae
Source: RNAcentral